Molecule: long non-coding RNA, 757 nt
Organism: Gopherus flavomarginatus (Mexican gopher tortoise)
Lineage: Eukaryota; Metazoa; Chordata; Testudines; Testudinidae
Exons: 2
Source: RefSeq, a predicted model, not a curated record
CAGCUCAAAAGUGUUUAGCCUCAUUGUGUGCUUUGAGGCUCUUAUACUCAACUGAAUCCCCAGCCCCAAGCAUAAGGAGAUGGCUGCAAAGUAGCAGCAAGUUGGCGACAUCAAGAGUCCCUGUGGAUAAAGUAUCACCGUAUGGCACUCUGCGGUGGCUGAAUGUCAACGUAACUUAGGUUGACUUAAUUUGGUAGAGUAAACUUGCCCUUAACUGAGGCCAGGAUUUCAUCUGACGUCUGCAGUGCUAUUCCACAUACCUAGUGUAUGUCCUUAUUGAUGUACACACAUGAAAAAUGACACAACAGCUCACAGCAGCAAGGCAAUUAGUGCAUCAGUGGAGCUGGAAGAAGAAAAGGCAUCAAGCAAAGCUUGUAAUUUCUUCCAUACUGUGGCAAACCAUUAAAACCAACUUUCUGUAAAAUACAAUUGAACCACACUCUCCUUUAUAUUUUCUCUUGCAUCACUGCUGCUUACCAACAUAUAGACUAGUCCUGUUCCGCCUAGUCCUGUGAAAUAUACAGUAUGUUAAGCUAAUUGUCUUAGAUCUGAUUAGCCCUGCUCUGCGAAUGGCCAUCAUUCGGAAAAAGUGACCAUUUGCCACCCCCAAAGCUUGAUAGUGCAGCUUCCGUCUCUCCUAUUAACUGCCAUACACAAGGUGGGCUAGGUUCUCUUCAAAUGCAAAAUAAAGGCAAGUCAAAGGAAAAAACAAAAGCAGUGUGGCUAUUUGCAGUGAAAUAAAUAUUUUAGCAAAGGA